RNAcentral lists this ribosomal RNA (597 nucleotides) under Triticum aestivum (bread wheat). RNAcentral describes it as "partial small subunit ribosomal RNA". Lineage: Eukaryota; Viridiplantae; Streptophyta; Magnoliopsida; Poales; Poaceae. The record is from RNAcentral.
AUGACGUCGUGUCCGCCCUACUACGCGCCCAUGUCCUCUGAUGAACCUGAGGAGUCCUCCGUGUCCACCGUCGUCGCCACGGCGGUCGGCACCGGGCACCACACGCUCAGGAUCCAGGGCUACUCGCGACUCGAGACCAUGCACGGCGGCAACGGCAGCUACGUGGAGUCCAACGCGUUCAAGGCAGCGGGCCACACCUGGAGGAUCCGUUGCUACCUCGACGGGGAGCGCCCGGAGGACGCCGGCUUCGUCUCGCUGUUCCUCAGGCGCGACCCCGCCGAUGCCGGCGCCGCUGAGAGCGUCGUCCACGCCGAGUGCGAGUUCGCACUGGUGCACCACCAAGGGACGCUGGUGAAGUGGCCGUCGCACUACCAACGCUUGAGCGCCUCGGCCUUUUCCUCCAGCCACAUGUGGGGCAUCCCGCAGUUCAUCAGCAAGGAGGACCUCGAGGGCUCCAGGUUCCUCAAGGACGACUGCUUCGCCGUCCGGUGCAAGGUCACCGCCAUCAAGCAGCGGUCCGCCAAAGAGGAAGAGGACGCGAGCCCCCCGGCCCUGGGAAGGCGUUUGCUAGGUUUCUGUAGUUCCAUCUGUGGAUAG